This 564-nucleotide ribosomal RNA is filed under the name uncultured Glomeromycotina. RNAcentral describes it as "SSU rRNA". It matches the Rfam family "Eukaryotic small subunit ribosomal RNA", at positions 548 to 1114 of the family's 1831-position model. Lineage: Eukaryota; Fungi; Glomeromycota. The record is from RNAcentral.
UUGGAGGGCAAGUCUGGUGCCAGCAGCCGCGGUAAUUCCAGCUCCAAUAGCGUAUAUUAAAGUUGUUGCAGUUAAAAAGCUCGUAGUUGAAUUUCGGGAUCAAGGGAUCAGUCAUGCCUUGGUAUGUACUGGUCUUAUUGGUUCUCACCUUCUAAAGAACCAUAAUGUCAUUUAUUUGAUGUUAUGGGGAAUUAGGACUGUUACCUUGAAAAAAUUAGAGUGUUUAAAGCAAGCUUACGCUUGAAUACAUUAGCAUGGAAUAAUGAAAUAGGACAUCAGAUUCUAUUUUGUUGGUUUCUAGGAUCGAUGUAAUGAUUAAUAGGGAUAGUUGGGGGCAUUAGUAUCCAAUUGUCAGAGGUGAAAUUCUUGGAUUUAUUGAAGACUAACUACUGCGAAAGCAUUUGCCAAGGAUGUUUUCAUUAAUCAAGAACGAAAGUUAGGGGAUCGAAGACGAUCAGAUACCGUCGUAGUCUUAACCAUAAACUAUGCCGACUAGGGAUCGGACGAAGUUAAUUUUAUAAUGACGCGUUCGGCACCUUACGGGAAACCAAAGUGUUUGGGUUC